Long non-coding RNA from Helianthus annuus (common sunflower), 485 nucleotides. RefSeq lists it as uncharacterized. The transcript has 3 exons. NCBI's taxonomy places the organism in Eukaryota, Viridiplantae, Streptophyta, Magnoliopsida, Asterales, Asteraceae. The record is from RefSeq and is a predicted model, not a curated record.
UUAUCAAAUUGCCAACCUCUAGACUAGUUAGGUACAUCAUGACUUUUGUGUUUCGUUGCAAUCAUUCCUUGUAAAAUUGGUAAUGAAUCAAGUUUUCAAAUCUUAGUUUUGUGGCCGACGUUCGAUAUCGUUUAACCGAGCUUUCACCAGGGCAAGCGAACGGUGAAAGAAAAGGUCAACCAGCCGUCGUCUCCGGUCAAUUUAUUGAAGUUUUCCAACUUGUCUGCAUCAACGUAUAUCUUUUGGUGUUUUGCUAAGCUAUAUCCAGGUCGUUAAGUAUUUUGGAACGGGGAAGCUUGCUAUCUGGGAGUGCUGGAGUGGUCAUGGAUCGAAGCUCUUAGAUUGAAUUACAUUGGUUUUAUGCGUUAUUAUGAAACAAUUGCUAAACAACUUAAUACAUGCUUCCGCUACACAAUUUUUGAGAACUAAUAUUAUGUUGACAACUUAUUUUGGUAAAAUAAUGUCAUGACUUAUUUGAAAAUUUA